UACGUAGGGUGCAAGCGUUGUCCGGAAUCAUUGGGCGUAAAGAGCGUGUAGGCGGCCAGAUAAGUCCGCUGUGAAAUCUCGAGGCUCAACUUCGAGCUGUCGGUGGAAACUGUCUGGCUAGAGUCCGGAAGAGGAGAAUGGAAUUCCUGGUGUAGCGGUGAAAUGCGCAGAUAUCAGGAGGAACACCAAUAGCGAAGGCAGCUCGCUGGGACGGUACUGACGCUAAGGCGCGAAAGCGUGGGGAGCGAACAGG
This 253-nucleotide ribosomal RNA is filed under the name uncultured bacterium. RNAcentral describes it as "partial 16S ribosomal RNA". It matches the Rfam family "Bacterial small subunit ribosomal RNA", at positions 524 to 776 of the family's 1533-position model. The record is from RNAcentral.